This 994-nucleotide long non-coding RNA is filed under the name Homo sapiens (human). RNAcentral describes it as "non-protein coding lnc-SOCS2-3:1". Lineage: Eukaryota; Metazoa; Chordata; Mammalia; Primates; Hominidae. The record is from RNAcentral.
UUCUGAGAAAGCUUUGCCUAAUUCAAGAUCAUAUAAUUUUAUCCUAUGUUUUCUCAGAAGUUUUAUAAUUUUGACUUACAUGUAGGUCUAUAAUCCAUUUCAAGUUAAUUUUUGUAUACGGUAUGAAGUAAUGAUCAAAGUUCAUUUGUUUUGAUGUAUGAAUGUCCAAUUGUUAUAGCAUCAUUUGUUGAAGAGCUAUCCUUUCUCCAUUGAAUUACCUUGGCACUUUUGUUGAAAAUAAAUUGACUCUAUAUUUGUGGUCUAUUUCUGGAUUCCCUUGUCUGUUCCUUUGGUCUAUAUGUCUAUUCUUACACCAGUAUUGCACUGUCUUGAUUCCUGUAGCUUUAGAAUAAAUCUUAAAAUCAAAUAGUAUGACUCUUCCAACUUUGUUAUUCUUUUUCAAAAUCAUCUUUAGGUCCUUUGCAUUUUUAUAUAAUUUGUUAAUUUUUACCCCCAAAAAAGGCUGUUGAGGUUUUGUUUAGGUUAUGUUGAAUCUAAGACUAAUUUGGGGAGAACUGACAUUUUAGCAAUGUUGACUCUUCCAAGCCAUGAGCAUAGUCUGUCUCUUUAUUUAUUCUACCAUAAUUUCUCUCAGUAUUUAAAAACAUUACUUCAAUGUAGAGGGCUUACAUUACUAAUUAUUUCACGUUUUAAAAAUUAUUAUAAAUUGUGUUUUUAACAUUUUAAAUUUCCAAUUGUUUCUUGCUAGUAAAUAGAAAAACUAUUUUUUAUAUUGACGUUUUCAUAUCUUGAAGCCUAACUAAAUUUACAUAUUUUAUUUUUCUAGCAUUGGCUAGAACCUUAGGGGGGAAGCAUUUGAUUUUUUACCAUUAAAAAUGAUGCUAACUGUAGGUUGUUUAUAAAUAAGAUUUAUCAGAUUGAGGAAGUUUCUUUCUAUUCCUAGUUUGCUGAAAUUUUUUUAUGAGGAAUGUAUGUUGAAUUUUAUAAACACUUUUUUUGCAUGUAUUGAGAUAAUUAUAUAAUUGUACUAUUU